RNAcentral lists this ribosomal RNA (380 nucleotides) under uncultured eukaryote. RNAcentral's name for it is "partial 18S ribosomal RNA". It matches the Rfam family "Eukaryotic small subunit ribosomal RNA", at positions 592 to 976 of the family's 1831-position model. The record is from RNAcentral.
CAAUAGCGUAUAUUAAAGUUGUUGCGGUUAAAAAGCUCGUAGUUGGAUUUCUGCUGAGGACGAUCGGUCCGCCCUCUGGGUGAGUAUCUGGCUCGGCCUUGGCAUCUUCUUGGAGAACGUUACUGCACUUGACUGUGUGGUGCGGUAUCCAGGACUUUUACUUUGAGGAAAUUAGAGUGUUUCAAGCAGGCGCACGCCUUGAAUACAUUAGCAUGGAAUAAUAAGAUAGGACCUUGGUUCUAUUUUGUUGGUUUCUAGAGCUGAGGUAAUGAUUAAUAGGGAUAGUUGGGGGCAUUCGUAUUUAACUGUCAGAGGUGAAAUUCUUGGAUUUGUUAAAGACGGACUACUGCGACAGCAUUUGCCAAGGAUGUUUUCAUUGA